This 29-nucleotide non-coding RNA is filed under the name Cricetulus griseus (Chinese hamster). Lineage: Eukaryota; Metazoa; Chordata; Mammalia; Rodentia; Cricetidae. The record is from RNAcentral.
GGCUAGCUAUUAACCUGUUGGGCACAUGU